This is an RNA transcript of Drosophila elegans, 842 nucleotides long. RefSeq lists it as uncharacterized. The transcript is spliced from 3 exons. Lineage: Eukaryota; Metazoa; Arthropoda; Insecta; Diptera; Drosophilidae. The record is from RefSeq and is a predicted model, not a curated record.
UUCCCUGCGCGGCAAGUGCGCUCGCAACUGCGCCUUCUAUAAUGGAUUUUAAUUGUUCAUUGGUCAAUGCCAUGUUUGAACUAUUUUGUUGUGAACUUUAGUUUUUGAAAUUUGUGUAAUGCUUCGAUCUAUCUAACGAUCAUAUGAUUUUAACACAAAGAAUUUUGUUCCUUUUGUAUUUAAUUUUUUCUAAAAAAAUUUUCUGAACUUGUGCCUUUUUUUUGACUGUUGGGUUGCAUUGGAGUGCAUUGUCCGCUGACUGCGCUGACCGAAGGCGUACAUACAUACAAACGAGAAAGUAGGAGAGCAUUUGCAAGACGUAAAAGAAUAAGAAUCGAAAGGAAACAAAAAACACAUUCAUACAUGGACUGCAGCAGCGUGACUUGCAGUAAAUUUUUACUUUACAACUCGUGUUAAAUUUAAAUAAAUACUUUUUGUAGCAGAGCCACGCUUCAAAUUUUUUUAACAAUCUUAUUUUAUACAAGCGCCGGUGUAAAUUUCGACUGUCUGGAAUUUAUUACCGUGGAGGAAAUUAAGGAUGCGAUUCCGCCAAUCGGAAUUAGAGUACUCUUCCGCGAAAAGCUGUUCGCUUGGAGGAAAACAAAGUUUACUCUUCGCAGCCAUCGUCUCCAAAGCCAUCGCCACAAAAGGCACCGCCAGCACUUUUAUCUCCGUUGCCAUCUAAUGCGCCUAAAUUCAAAUACACUCUUAACAAGGUAUGAGUCUUUAAGUUCUAAUAAUUAUGUAUAUUUUCAGUAUAAUUGAUAACCAAUAACCGAAUCUAAUAUUAAUUAUAACACCAAAUUUUUGAAAGAGCUUGAAUAAAAUUUUAAGUGGAAAGG